RNAcentral lists this long non-coding RNA (533 nucleotides) under Rhipicephalus microplus (southern cattle tick). RNAcentral describes it as "uncharacterized LOC119179698". The record is from RNAcentral. Lineage: Eukaryota; Metazoa; Arthropoda; Arachnida; Ixodida; Ixodidae.
CCGAUUCUCGUCGGCUAGUAUUACUGAAGGUUUUAAACCACGGAAAUACCACUUCAUCAGCAUUGAGGAAAAGAAGUAGUUUUUGCGCCGCACGACAAAUUUCCAUCAGUAUGAAGGUGCUGUCAGCCAUCUUGCUGUUUCCUGCAGCUGCUCUUAUCAGCUUAGCAUCCGAAGAGAAACGUAUUUGGUCACUGACAAUUAAUAACAACCAUACGUGUCUGUUUGGCCAGUACCAAAUACCGAACGGGGUAUGCUUAGACGUCCACCGUCCCUGCGUAAGCUUGUGCUGCAGCGCACCGUCAUCUCAGCUAAUAAUCAAUGGGUGCCCUCUACCGGAUGGCUUUGAUAAAAAAUUUGAUGGCUGGUGGUGUUGGCCCAAUUGCUGUGUUCCAUGACGCCGUUUACCACGGCCAAAAUACAAUCCACGGGGUCUUUAUUACGGAAAUGACGGUUCCUGGAGGUACCGCUAUGAAAACGCAAACUCUGAGUAAAUUUUACGGACCUCAAUAAAGUUUCAUUCUCCCAGAUGUGUC